This is a long non-coding RNA of Glycine soja, 791 nucleotides long. RefSeq lists it as uncharacterized. The transcript is spliced from 3 exons. The record is from RefSeq and is a predicted model, not a curated record. Lineage: Eukaryota; Viridiplantae; Streptophyta; Magnoliopsida; Fabales; Fabaceae.
CACCUGUUGCUUUGUUUUGUGCCACCUGCCUGCUGUGUUGCCUUUUUUCUGCCACGUUGAGAUGUUUCCUCUCUCUUUAUCUCUUCUCUUCUUUACACAAAGUCUGAGCAUUUUUUGUUUUUACUUCUCUUCUCAUCUUCAUUCUAUUUUAUUUUUUUUACGAUUUUAGUUUGGCUUUGAGGAUGGGUUGGGUAGCCAUGUUCUAUCUCGUCGUCGUUCCUGCACUCAACCGAGUUUCCCUUUCUGUGCUUGGCUUUAGACUAUAAAUUUAGCCUCCGAGUUUAAUUUGGGGUUUGGUUUGGUUUCAACGAUUAUCUGAUCAAGCUUCUCCUAAUCGGCGACUCUUCCGUUGGAAAAUCCUGCUUGCUUCUUAGAUUCGCUGUGAGUCAUCACUUUAUUUGCUUCUCCUAAUCUCUCUUUUUGUUCACUUCCUUUGUUUCUUCGUUUCGUUUCAGGAUGACUCCUAGGUCGACAGCUACGUAAGUACUAUUGGAGUUGAUUUCGUAAUUUUCACUCUUCUUCUCUUUUGUUAUUUCUAUUUAUGGCCCAACACUCAUUUUUAUUUUAUUUUUAGAAAAUCAGAAUCGUGGAGCUAGAAGGGAAAACCGUCGAGCUGCAGAUUAUGAGGUGCCUGUGGCUCAGUGGUAUUUCGCGUUCAAUCGCUUACAAUUGGUCUCGACCCAACAUGAAAAUCGGUGUUAGGAUCAUUCACGCAAGUUCCUCUUACCGGAACGUUCCUAUUCCUCACAAAGGAAGAAGCCCAGGUUUUUUUGUUCACCAGGAAGAAGCGC